GAAACAAACCGGAAGCAGUAGAAGUAACAUUUGCAGAUUUCGAUGGGGUCCUCUAUCAUAUUUCAAAUCCUAAUGGAGACAAAACAAAAGUGAUGGUCAGUAUUUCUUUGAAAUUCUACAAGGAACUUCAGGCACAUGGUGCUGAUGAGGAUACAAUGUCUCUUUGCUAUAUGACCUUGAAAAUCUUCCGGCAUCCAAGGAUUCCAUUGUGCAUCAAGCUGGCAUGUUGAAGCGAAAUUGUUUUGCCUCUGUCUUUGAAAAAUACUUCCAAUUCCAAGAAGAGGGCAAGGAAGGAGAGAACAGGGCAGUUAUCCAUUAUAGGGAUGAUGAGACCAUGUGAGUAUAGAAUUUGGUCCUGAAGCCUGGAUAUGGCUGCUACACCACCAUGGCACUUACUGAAAGAAAUAUGGCUUGGUCAAACUUUCAGCUGUAUUGCGUGAAAAUGUUUUUCUCAUAAAAUGUCUUAAGCCAGGAAGUAGAUGAUAGGGCAGAAAUCAGCCACU
RNAcentral lists this small RNA (503 nucleotides) under Pan troglodytes (chimpanzee). RNAcentral describes it as "retained intron". The record is from RNAcentral. Lineage: Eukaryota; Metazoa; Chordata; Mammalia; Primates; Hominidae.